This 72-nucleotide transfer RNA is filed under the name Microbacteriaceae bacterium. RNAcentral's name for it is "tRNA-Arg". It matches the Rfam family "tRNA". From Rfam's summary of the family: Transfer RNA (tRNA) molecules are approximately 80 nucleotides in length. Their secondary structure includes four short double-helical elements and three loops (D, anti-codon, and T loops). Further hydrogen bonds mediate the characteristic L-shaped molecular structure. tRNAs have two regions of fundamental functional importance: the anti-codon, which is responsible for specific mRNA codon recognition, and the 3' end, to which the tRNAs corresponding amino acid is attached (by aminoacyl-tRNA synthetases). tRNAs cope with the degeneracy of the genetic code in two manners: having more than one tRNA (with a specific anti-codon) for a particular amino acid; and 'wobble' base-pairing, i.e. permitting non-standard base-pairing at the 3rd anti-codon position. Lineage: Bacteria; Bacillati; Actinomycetota; Actinomycetes; Micrococcales; Microbacteriaceae. The record is from RNAcentral. RNAcentral also lists the same sequence under 3 other names.
GCCUCCGUAGCUCAAUGGAAGAGCGUGCGCGUCCUAAGCGUUAGGUUGCAGGUUCGAGUCCUGUCGGGGGCA